AUUGAACGCUGGCGGCAUGCCUAACACAUGCAAGUUGAGCGAGCGGCGGACGUGUGAGUAAUGUAUGUGGACUGCCCGUUAGAGGGGGAUAACUACUGGAAACGGUGGUUAAUACCGCAUACUAUCGGAUAACCCAUAUGUGAUUAGCUAGUAGUUGGGGUAAAGGCUCACGUAGGCGACGAUCUCUAGCUGGUCUAAGAGGAUGCUCAGCCACACUGGGCCUGGGACAGUGCCCGGACUCCGAGGGCGGCAGCAGUGGGGAAUAGUGCACAAUGGGCGCAAGCCUGAUGCAGCCAUGCCGCGUGUAUGAAGAAGGCCUUAGGGUUGUAAAGUACUUUCAGCGGGGAGGCGUUACCCGCAGAAGAAGCACCGGCUAACUCCGUGCCAGCAGCCGCGGUAAUUC
RNAcentral lists this ribosomal RNA (403 nucleotides) under uncultured bacterium. RNAcentral's name for it is "partial 16S ribosomal RNA". It matches the Rfam family "Bacterial small subunit ribosomal RNA", at positions 30 to 526 of the family's 1533-position model. The record is from RNAcentral.